Molecule: ribosomal RNA, 805 nt
Filed under: Kurzia trichoclados
Lineage: Eukaryota; Viridiplantae; Streptophyta; Jungermanniopsida; Jungermanniales; Lepidoziaceae
Description: eukaryotic LSU rRNA
Rfam family: Eukaryotic large subunit ribosomal RNA
Source: RNAcentral
UAGUAGCGGCGAGCGAACCGGAAAGAGCCCAGCUUGAAAAUCGUGGGGUUUUGCGUCACGAAUUGUAGUCUGGAGAAGCGUCCUCUGCAGCGGACCGGGCCCAAGUUCCCUGGAACGGGACGUCGGAGAGGGUGAGAGCCCCGUCGAGCUCGGACCCUGCUGCUCCACGAGGCGGUGUCGGCGAGUCGGGCUGUUUGGGAAUGCAGCCCUAAGUGGGUGGUAAAUUCCAUCCAAGGCUAAAUACUGGCAGGAGACCGAUAGCAAACAAGUACCGCGAGGGAAAGAUGAAAAGGACUUUGAAAAGAGAGUUAAAAAGUGCUUGAAAUUGCUGGGAGGGAAGCGAAUGGAGGCUGCGGGUGUGCCCCGGUUGGAUGCGGAACGGCGUGAGCUGGUCCGCCGCUCAACGCGGGGUGCUGGUCAGCGUGGGCUAUCCCGACGGGACAAGAGCUCGCUUUAUGUUGUUGGCCUAUGCCGUCGGGGUGGCCGAGGAAGGAAGCGCGCGCCUUCGGGCGGCCCUCGGGACCUGCGCGCUCGGGACGCUGGCGUAUUGAGCUUUCCAUCCGGCCCGUCUUGAAACACGGACCAAGGAGUCUAACAUGUAUGCAAGCCGGUGGGUGGCAAACCCAUGGAGGCGCAAGUAAGCUGACAGGUGGGAUCCGCAAGGAGCACCAUCNACCGACCAUGAUCUUAUGUGAAAGGUUCGAGUGWGAGCAUACCUGCUGGGACCCGAAAGAUGGUGAACUAUGCCUGAGCAGGGCGAAGCCAGAGGAAACUCUGGUGGAGGCUCGUAGCGAUACUGACGUGC